ACAGAGGGUGCGAGCGUUGUUCGGAAUCACUGGGCGUAAAGGGCGUGUAGGCGGUCAAGUAAGUGGGAUGUGAAAUCCCUCGGCUCACCCGAGGACCUGCAUCCCAAACUGCUUGGCUUGAGUAUGGGAGAGGAUGAGGGAAUUCCUGGUGUAGCGGUGAAAUGCGUAGAUAUUGGGAGGAACACCAGUGGCGAAGGCGGCUCACUGGACCGGUUCUGACGCUGAGGCGCGAAAGCGUGGGGAGCAAACAGGA
This 253-nucleotide ribosomal RNA is filed under the name uncultured prokaryote. RNAcentral's name for it is "partial 16S ribosomal RNA". It matches the Rfam family "Bacterial small subunit ribosomal RNA", at positions 525 to 777 of the family's 1533-position model. The record is from RNAcentral.